GGUUAAGUUAGAAAGGGCGCACGGUGGAUGCCUUGACACUAGGAGUCGAUGAAGGACGGGACUAACGCCGAUAUGCUUCGGGGAGCUGUAAGUAAGCUUUGAUCCGAAGAUUUCCGAAUGGGGAAACCCACCAUACGUAAUGGUAUGGUAUCCUUAUCUGAAUACAUAGGGUAAGGAAGACAGACCCAGGGAACUGAAACAUCUAAGUACCUGGAGGAAGAGAAAGCAAAUGCGAUUUCCUGAGUAGCGGCGAGCGAAACGGAACAUAGCCCAAACCAAGAGGCUUGCCUCUUGGGGUUGUAGGACAUUCUAUACGGAGUUACAAAGGAACGAGGUAGACGAAGCGACCUGGAAAGGUCCGUCGUAGAGGGUAACAACCCGUAGUCGAAACUUCGUUCUCUCUUGAAUGUAUCCUGAGUACGGCGGAACACGUGAAAUUCCGUCGGAAUCUGGGAGGACCAUCUCCCAAGGCUAAAUACUCCCUAGUGAUCGAUAGUGAACCAGUACCGUGAGGGAAAGGUGAAAAGCACCCCGGAAGGGGAGUGAAAGAGAUCCUGAAACCGUGUGCCUACAAAUAGUCAGAGCCCGUUAACGGGUGAUGGCGUGCCUUUUGUAGAAUGAACCGGCGAGUUACGAUCCCGUGCGAGGUUAAGCUGAAGAGGCGGAGCCGCAGCGAAAGCGAGUCUGAAUAGGGCGUUUAGUACGUGGUCGUAGACCCGAAACCAGGUGAUCUACCCAUGUCCAGGGUGAAGUUCAGGUAACACUGAAUGGAGGCCCGAACCCACGCACGUUGAAAAGUGCGGGGAUGAGGUGUGGGUAGCGGAGAAAUUCCAAUCGAACCUGGAGAUAGCUGGUUCUCCCCGAAAUAGCUUUAGGGCUAGCCUUAAGUGUAAGAGUCUUGGAGGUAGAGCACUGAUUGGACUAGGGGUCCUCAUCGGAUUACCGAAUUCAGUCAAACUCCGAAUGCCAAUGACUUAUCCUUAGGAGUCAGACUGCGAGUGAUAAGAUCCGUAGUCAAAAGGGAAACAGCCCAGACCGCCAGCUAAGGUCCCAAAGUGUGUAUUAAGUGGAAAAGGAUGUGGAGUUGCUUAGACAACUAGGAUGUUGGCUUAGAAGCAGCCACCAUUUAAAGAGUGCGUAAUAGCUCACUAGUCGAGUGACUCUGCGCCGAAAAUGUACCGGGGCUAAAUACACCACCGAAGCUGCGGAUUGAUACCGAAUGGUAUCAGUGGUAGGGGAGCGUUCUAAGGACAGUGAAGUCAGACCGUAAGGACUGGUGGAGUGCUUAGAAGUGAGAAUGCCGGUAUGAGUAGCGAAAGACGGGUGAGAAUCCCGUCCACCGAAUGCCUAAGGUUUCCUGAGGAAGGCUCGUCCGCUCAGGGUUAGUCAGGACCUAAGCCGAGGCCGACAGGCGUAGGCGAUGGACAACAGGUUGAUAUUCCUGUACCACCUCUUUAUCGUUUGAGCAAUGGAGGGACGCAGAAGGAUAGAAGAAGCGUGCGAUUGGUUGUGCACGUCCAAGCAGUUAGGCUGAUAAGUAGGCAAAUCCGCUUAUCGUGAAGGCUGAGCUGUGAUGGGGAAGCUCCUUAUGGAGCGAAGUCUUUGAUUCCCCGCUGCCAAGAAAAGCUUCUAGCGAGAUAAAAGGUGCCUGUACCGCAAACCGACACAGGUAGGCGAGGAGAGAAUCCUAAGGUGUGCGAGAGAACUCUGGUUAAGGAACUCGGCAAAAUGACCCCGUAACUUCGGGAGAAGGGGUGCUUUCUUAACGGAAAGCCGCAGUGAAUAGGCCCAAGCGACUGUUUAGCAAAAACACAGCUCUCUGCGAAGCCGUAAGGCGAAGUAUAGGGGGUGACACCUGCCCGGUGCUGGAAGGUUAAGGAGAGGGGUUAGCGUAAGCGAAGCUCUGAACUGAAGCCCCAGUAAACGGCGGCCGUAACUAUAACGGUCCUAAGGUAGCGAAAUUCCUUGUCGGGUAAGUUCCGACCCGCACGAAAGGUGUAACGAUUUGGGCACUGUCUCAACCAGAGACUCGGUGAAAUUAUAGUACCUGUGAAGAUGCAGGUUACCCGCGACAGGACGGAAAGACCCCGUGGAGCUUUACUGUAGCCUGAUAUUGAAUUUUGGUACAGUUUGUACAGGAUAGGCGGGAGCCAUUGAAACCGGAGCGCUAGCUUCGGUGGAGGCGCUGGUGGGAUACCGCCCUGACUGUAUUGAAAUUCUAACCUACGGGUCUUAUCGACCCGGGAGACAGUGUCAGGUGGGCAGUUUGACUGGGGCGGUCGCCUCCUAAAGUGUAACGGAGGCGCCCAAAGGUUCCCUCAGAAUGGUUGGAAAUCAUUCGUAGAGUGCAAAGGCAUAAGGGAGCUUGACUGCGAGACCUACAAGUCGAGCAGGGACGAAAGUCGGGCUUAGUGAUCCGGUGGUUCCGCAUGGAAGGGCCAUCGCUCAACGGAUAAAAGCUACCCGGGGAUAACAGGCUUAUCUCCCCCAAGAGUCCACAUCGACGGGGAGGUUUGGCACCUCGAUGUCGGCUCAUCGCAUCCUGGGGCUGUAGUCGGUCCCAAGGGUUGGGCUGUUCGCCCAUUAAAGCGGUACGCGAGCUGGGUUCAGAACGUCGUGAGACAGUUCGGUCCCUAUCCGUCGUGGGCGUAGGAAAUUUGAGAGGAGCUGUCCUUAGUACGAGAGGACCGGGAUGGACGCACCGCUGGUGUACCAGUUGUUCUGCCAAGGGCAUAGCUGGGUAGCUAUGUGCGGAAGGGAUAAGUGCUGAAAGCAUCUAAGCAUGAAGCCCCCCUCAAGAUGAGAUUUCCCAUAGCGUAAGCUAGUAAGAUCCCUGAAAGAUGAUCAGGUUGAUAGGUUCGAGGUGGAAGCAUGGUGACAUGUGGAGCUGACGAAUACUAAUAGAUCGAGGACUUAACCAU
RNAcentral lists this ribosomal RNA (2921 nucleotides) under Bacillus thuringiensis. RNAcentral's name for it is "23S ribosomal RNA". It matches the Rfam family "Bacterial large subunit ribosomal RNA". Lineage: Bacteria; Bacillati; Bacillota; Bacilli; Caryophanales; Bacillaceae. The record is from RNAcentral.